Molecule: non-coding RNA, 299 nt
Organism: Pelobates cultripes (western spadefoot toad)
Lineage: Eukaryota; Metazoa; Chordata; Amphibia; Anura; Pelobatidae
Source: the annotation of a GenBank genome assembly
CAUACAUACACACUGUGUGUCAAGGUGUGUGUAUGUGCCACUGUGUUUGUGUAUAUAUAUAUCUGUGUGUCAGAUAUACACACCUUGACACACACUGACACGUACAAAAAAAGGCACAAUUUUGUCGAUACACUGUCCAAGGGUACCAUGGGAAAAAUUAAUUGGUAUUCCCUGCCCUAAGAUCUCUUUUGAGCUAUGCAACUGAUACUGGCAAUUCUAUAUUAGGCUGCACGGUCCUGGGCAUAUUAUAUAUUUUCGGAUCCUUAGCCCGAUUGGUUUGAAGGAUGAUUCACCUUGUG